GAUGAAGCAGAAGGCGGCGCUGCGGGAGGCGUACAAGAAGAAGAAUCUGCUCCCGCUCGACCUCCGCCCCAAGAAGACCCGCGCCAUCCGCAGGCGCCUCACCAAGCACCAGCUCUCUUUGAAGACCGAGAGGGAGAAGAAGCGUGAAAAGUAUUUCCCCAUGAGGAAGUAUGCUAUCAAGGCCUAGAUUAGCGAAAG
Molecule: long non-coding RNA, 198 nt
Organism: Panicum hallii
Lineage: Eukaryota; Viridiplantae; Streptophyta; Magnoliopsida; Poales; Poaceae
Exons: 2
Source: RefSeq, a predicted model, not a curated record